This 427-nucleotide ribosomal RNA is filed under the name uncultured bacterium. RNAcentral's name for it is "bacterial SSU rRNA". It matches the Rfam family "Bacterial small subunit ribosomal RNA", at positions 355 to 774 of the family's 1533-position model. The record is from RNAcentral.
UAGGGAAUAUUGGACAAUGGGCGCAAGCCUGAUCCAGCCAUGCCGCGUGAGUGAAGAAGGCCCUCGGGUUGUAAAGCUCUUUUGUCCGGAAAGAAAAGCAUCGGGUUAAUACCCCGGUGUUAUGACGGUACCGACAGAAAAAGCACCGGCUAACUACGUGCCAGCAGCCGCGGUAAUACGUAGGGUGCGAGCGUUAAUCGGAAUUACUGGGCGUAAAGGGUGCGCAGGCGGUCUUGCAAGUCAGAUGUGAAAGCCCCGGGCUUAACCUGGGAAUUGCGUUUGAAACUACAAGACUAGAGUGCAGCAGAGGGGAGUGGAAUUCCAUGUGUAGCAGUGAAAUGCGUAGAGAUGUGGAAGAACACCGAUGGCGAAGGCAGCUCCCUGGGUUGACACUGACGCUCAUGCACGAAAGCGUGGGGAGCAAACA